UUGCUCACUUUGGCAGCAUGUAUACUAGAAUUGGAACAAUAGAGAAGAUUAACAUAGCCACUGUGCAAGCAUGAUAUGCAAAUCCAUGCAGCAUUUAUAUUUUUU
Molecule: small nuclear RNA, 105 nt
Organism: Octodon degus (degu)
Lineage: Eukaryota; Metazoa; Chordata; Mammalia; Rodentia; Octodontidae
Source: Ensembl